RNAcentral lists this ribosomal RNA (380 nucleotides) under uncultured cyanobacterium. RNAcentral describes it as "bacterial SSU rRNA". It matches the Rfam family "Bacterial small subunit ribosomal RNA", at positions 376 to 770 of the family's 1533-position model. The record is from RNAcentral. Lineage: Bacteria; Bacillati; Cyanobacteriota.
CGAAAGCCUGACGGAGCAAGACCGCGUGAGGGAAGAAGGUCUUUGGAUUGUAAACCUCUUUUCUCAAGGAAGAAGUCAGUGACGGUACUUGAGGAAUCAGCAUCGGCUAACUCCGUGCCAGCAGCCGCGGUAAUACGGGGGAUGCAAGCGUUAUCCGGAAUUAUUGGGCGUAAAGCGUUCGUAGGCGGUUUUAUAAGUCUGCUGUCAAAGUGCGGAGCUCAACUCCGUAAGAGCAGUGGAAACUGUGAGACUUGAGUGUGGUAGGGGUAGAGGGAAUUCCCAGUGUAGCGGUGAAAUGCGUAGAUAUUGGGAAGAACACCGGUGGCGAAAGCGCUCUACUGGGCCAUAACUGACGCUGAGGGACGAAAGCUAGGGGAGCG